CAAAGGAGGGGACUAAGACUAAGAUGGCUUAUUUACUAUGGUUAAUCUAGUUUUCUAGGAUCCUAAGUUAAUUCAUCAUGAACUUUUAUCUCUUGAUCAUGUGAUUAGAUGUGUCCACUAUUGCUCAUGGGUUAUUCUUGUUUGAUCAUCUCUUAAAUCUUACAUUCAUUCGAAGCACUGAGAUAGUCCUAGCUUGUUAUGUCAGCAGUUAGAUCCCAAAAAUAUCAUUAGCUGCCUCCCUCCUUUUGAAAGCUGAAAUUAGUUUUGAUGCUACUGUUCAGAACUCUAUUGCUACUACAAAGUUCAUUAUUAGAGAUAGGGAAGGCAUGCUCUUCUUAGCUAGUAGCAAAAAUCUGUUGUCUUCUUCUAUAACCCAGGCUAAAUUAAUUGGGCUUGGCUUGGUUUGUAUUAUGCUUACCAUUUCUUUCUAGGAAGUCAGUUUUGGUUAUAGGAGAACUCUCUUACUAUCAUCCAAUAGAUCACUCAGAAUCCUAUUUAGAUGGCCGGUCUUAAUUCUUUGCUACAGGAUAUCAAACACUGGUAGUUUUUGCAGCAAAAUUUAAGAGUCUCUCACACUCACUAAAAAGAUAAUAAAGCAGCAGAUUGGCUAGCAUGAUAAGCACCUCAGGGAGAUUAUAUCAUCCAUAAGGGAGAUACAAAUCACCCAGAACUCCUCCAAAUUCUAAUGGUAGAUGUUGAUGGAAUAAAUUUUUGCAAGGGGAGCUAGCCAUUUACUCAACUAUUUUCUUUUGAGUUUAUUAUUUUAUGU
This 769-nucleotide long non-coding RNA is filed under the name Elaeis guineensis (African oil palm). RNAcentral's name for it is "long non-coding RNA (EGUI_LNC038925)". The record is from RNAcentral. Lineage: Eukaryota; Viridiplantae; Streptophyta; Magnoliopsida; Arecales; Arecaceae.